AAUAAUUCUUCUCAGCUUCUGGCCUUGGAUUGAAUCCACCGAUGCGAUAGCCUCUGGGUAGUUGCAUUACUAUUAACAGUCUUUCACAAUCCACAACCACGAACAACCAGAGGACUCCAGAUGAAAAUUUUCUCAUACAACGCAUCGAAAGAUGUUGCCAGUACAUGGUGGGAUGUGCUGUGAGGAGCAAAUCCAAAUUCAACUUAGGCCUAGUCCAAUAAUUGAUGUGCUAGCUUUUUUUGGUAUUGAUUGAACCAACAGUAUGUGCUUCGGUGGUCAUCUGCAUAUUGGGUUUUCUUGUCUCUAUAUAUCUAAAUUGGGUAGCGGUACAGACACUGAAGGGACAAAGGAAAGCACCAUUCUCCGACUGUCUAAAGACUUCUUUCUCAUUUGGCUGCUUCUCCCAGAAUUUAAAUGUUCAACUCAGCAUACAUGGAGGUGUAACCACUUAAGCGCAAGGUCGUAUCCAUUGAGGAAAUCAUGCAAGAAGAGGGUGAAAUCCACAUUUAAGGACAUCAUCACCAUGUGUCUAGAUCUUCCGCCGGCCAAUGACCUGGGCGGUCGGACCAGUGACCUGGUCACAAUAUCGUUUGGAUCAAUCUCUAACCCGCUAUCUUGCAGAAAAGCCGUUGACUCGGUUUAUGAGGUGGGCCUCACAGAAACAGCUUUUGAGCUAAGCUAUGUUUUGGGGAAAAAUCCACAGAGUGCAAAUCAUCUGUGAAUCAUUUUUUGGGCUGCCACUUCAGCCUCCUUGGAUAGCUUAUCCAAAUACCUCAAAGCUGCUGAACCAGCUUUGCUGAAUGUUCAGCUCAGCCCAUCCAAAUGGGCCUUAUAUUAUUUUACUCUAAAAAAUUGUUUUACGCAAUUGACAUCAUUGGUAUGGCCCUUAUAUUUUAUUUUAUUUUUAGAAAUUGUUUUAAUCUAUUGACAUCGUAGGUUGACUCCUUAGUCUCGUGGUUGAAUUAUUGACCAAUUAUCCGAAGAAAAAACGGACAAGUACGGAUACACACGAUGCAGAAUUCUGAAU
Nelumbo nucifera (sacred lotus) is the source of this 1027-nucleotide RNA transcript. It is a transcript of the gene named cation/calcium exchanger 1 pseudogene, with no coding region annotated. The record is from RefSeq and is a predicted model, not a curated record. Lineage: Eukaryota; Viridiplantae; Streptophyta; Magnoliopsida; Proteales; Nelumbonaceae.